GACGUAGGUGGCAAGCGUUGUCCGGAUUUACUGGGCGUAAAGGGCGUGCAGGCGGUCUGUUAAGUGCAGGGUGAAAGCUCCCGGCUCAACUGGGAGAGGUCCUUGCAUACUGGCGGACUUGAGGGGGGUAGAGGAAAGUGGAAUUCCCGGUGUAGUGGUGAUAUGCGUAGAUAUCGGGAGGAACACCUGUGGCGAAGGCGGCUUUCUGGGCCCUACCUGACGCUGAGACGCGAAAGCGUGGGGAGCGAACCGG
This 253-nucleotide ribosomal RNA is filed under the name uncultured bacterium. Its description in RNAcentral is "partial 16S ribosomal RNA". It matches the Rfam family "Bacterial small subunit ribosomal RNA", at positions 524 to 776 of the family's 1533-position model. The record is from RNAcentral.